RNAcentral lists this ribosomal RNA (388 nucleotides) under uncultured bacterium. RNAcentral describes it as "bacterial SSU rRNA". It matches the Rfam family "Bacterial small subunit ribosomal RNA", at positions 28 to 417 of the family's 1533-position model. The record is from RNAcentral.
GACGAACGCUGGCGGCGUGCUUAACACAUGCAAGUCGAGCGGUAAGGCCCUUUCGGGGGUACACGAGCGGCGAACGGGUGAGUAACACGUGGGUGACCUGCCUCUAGCUCUGGGAUAAGCCUGGGAAGCUGGGUCUAAUACCGGAUAUGACCUCGCGGUGCAUGUUGCGGGGUGGAAAGCCUUGUGCGGCUAGGGAUGGGCCCGCGGCCUAUCAGCUUGUUGGUGGGGNGAUGGCCUACCAAGGCGACGACGGGUAGCCGGCCUGAGAGGGCGACCGGCCACACUGGGACUGAGACACGGCCCAGACUCCUACGGGAGGCAGCAGUGGGGAAUCUUGCGCAAUGGGCGAAAGCCUGACGCAGCGACGCCGCGUGAGGGAUGACGGCCU